Molecule: long non-coding RNA, 3284 nt
Filed under: Homo sapiens (human)
Lineage: Eukaryota; Metazoa; Chordata; Mammalia; Primates; Hominidae
Description: HSALNT0396690
Source: RNAcentral
UGUGAUAUUUCACUUAAUCCUAGCACCUAGGUGAUGUAACACUUCUCUUUUGUCUGGACACUUGCAUAUUUUUGGUAGUGUAACAUAUCACUUGGCCCAACACCUAGAAUAUAGGAGGUUUCUGCCAGGGCCCUGCCUACAGGGGGGCCUGUGACAUAUUUCUCCUGGCUGUGGAACCCAGUACCUAAGAAAUGUACCUCUUCUGCCUGCAGUUUGCCAAUAAGAAAUGUUAUGAUAUAUUGAUGGGUCCAGCAACCAUGUGAUAUAUCUCUCCUGCUUUGGCCUCAUCAACAGAGAGCAUUGUGACAUACCCGCGAGCCAAGCACACAGAUGAUGUUAUUCUGCUGCCUGUGCCCUGCUUUCAGGAGUGGAUUGCAAUGUAACACUGGCUGAGUACCCAGGUUAAUGACACUGUUGCCUGGUCCCUGUUCUCAGGGAAGACUGUAAUAGACCCCUGACCCAAUAUCCAGGGGACAUUGUGACAUACUUCUUGGCCAUGAACCCAGGUUAUGUGAGCCUUUCUGUGCCCUGCCCAUGUGGACAAUUGUGACAUAUUACCGAGUCCUACACCCAGGCGAUGCUACUCUCCUGUCUGGUCCUUGCCUACAGGGAACAUUGUGACAUAUCUCUUUGCCAUUCAUCCAGGUUCUGCCCACAGGGAAGAUUGUGGUGAAUUACUGAACGCGAUACCUAGAUGAAGGUGCGGGAUGGUUAAAUAUCACUGGACCUAGCACCUAGGGAAUGUGACUCUUGUCUUUUGCAUCAGCCCCACUCGUUUUGAGAACUGUAACAUAUCACUGGGCCAAACACCUAGAAGAUGGGAAGUGUCUGCCUAUGCCCUGCAAACAGGGCUUUAGCCCUACCACUCUCAAGAGCCUCGUGACAUAUCUCUGCAUUCAUCAUCUAGGAGAUGUGACUCCUCCCUGCUGCCUGCGCUCUGCCUACAGGGAAGACCAUAACAACAUUUGGCCCAGCAACACGGUGAUGUGUUUUUUCCCAGGGCCUUGCUCACAGGGAGCAUUGUGACAUAUCACUGGAACCAGCAUCCAGGGCUGUGACUCUGUGUCCUGCUGUUAGAACAGGAUUGUAACAUAUCACUGACCAAGCACCCAGGUGAUGUGACUCUUCUGCCUGGUGCCUGCCUUCAGGGAAAAUUGUGACAUAUGCCUGGCCUAGCACCAAAGUGAUGUGGCUCUCCUGCUACCUCUAUGCACAGGUGGGAUUGUGACAUAUACCUUCAUUCAGCUCAUAGGUGAGGUGAUAACUCUCAUACCACAAACCAAACAGUAGGAGAGAUGCUGUCUGUCAAAGCUAAGCUUACAGAAAUACACAAGAUUCAGGGACUUUUCUUUGUAUAAACAUUAUAGUAGAUUACUGCUCUCUUGUAUAUAAUAUAAACUUCUCAGGUGGUACAGAGAGUGUCAUCACAGGGCCCAGCGCACAGGUGAGAAUACAUUAUUUGUAUGCACGCCCCACCACCCAUUAGGAUUUUCACCCUCAAACAUGGAAAGAGCCUACUGGUAAGGUCUUGAAUCUCACACCUGGAUGCAGUCUACAGUUGAAAUUGUGAUUGUCAUAGGUGAAUAUCCAGCUGCAGUUGAGAUGGUGACUCAUUUCUAACUUAGCUCUGAGGCAGGUGAGGACUGUUUUAUUUGGAACCAGCCAAUUAUAAAGAUGUUGACUCUCAUAUUUGAGCUUAGUUCUACAGGUACAAUCAUGGGUCCAUAACAUCAUGAAGGUCAUAGAGCAGUUUGCAACUCUCAUUAAUACUGUAGAAGGCUCUUGGGUGGUACUGAGAGGGUCUUAGCAGAGCCCCGCACACAGGUGAGAUUGUGACACUCAUAUGCACACCCAGCCAACAAUAAAACUUUUCAUCUUUCCACAUGAACACAGCCCACUGUUGAGGUCCUGAGUCUCCCUUGUGAAAACAGUGCAAAGUUGAAAAAUUGACUCUUAUAUGUGGAUUUGGUUCACAGAUGGGUUGGUGAUGCUCAGACAAAUAUUCAGCACACCUGUGAGUCUGCGACUCCAGUAAUCAUCCACAGUCUGCAGGAGAAAUUGAGGCUCUCACCAACAAAUCAAGUGCACAAUUGAGAUUGCGACUCUUGUACUCAGACCCAACAUACAGAAUGUGUUGACUCUCAAUUUUAAAACCAGAACAUGUGUGAGAUUAUUAAUCUGAUCUCUAAACCAUCCUGCAAGUGUGAUUGUGACACAAGUCUCUGUUCAGUACUUGAGUGAUUUGACUCCUUUGCCUGGGCCCAGUCCAAAGAUGUAAUUGUGACAUAUCACUGAAACCAGCAUAUAGGAGAUGUGUCUCCAUACUCCUGCCUUGGUGCUGCCCACAGUGGGCACUGUGACAUAUCACUGGGCCUUGUAUCCAAGUGAUGUAAGUCUCUUCUUUCUUGAUACUGACCACAGGAGACACUAUGACAUAUCCCUGGGCCUCAAGCUCAGCUUAUGUCAUUCUCCUAUUUGUUCUCUGUCCACAUGGGCCAUUGUGACAUACUGCUGAGUUUGGCAUCCAUGUGAUAUAACACUUCAGCCUCAGCUUUGCUCACUUGGGGCAUUGUGAUGUAUCUCUGCACCCAUCACUUAGAUGAUUCAACUCUUUUCUUCUGUCUCAUCUGUGCUUAAAACGGGCAAUUGUUACCUAUUGCUGGGUCCAGCAUGUAGCUGAUGUGUCUCUUCUCAUCUUCCUAAGGACUGCCUGCAGGGGAUAUGGUGACAUUUUACUUUGCCCAGCACCAAGAUGACUUGAAUCUGCUGCCUUUGUUCUACUUUCAGAAGACAUUGUGACAUAUCGCUGGGCCUAGCACCAAGGUGAUGUGAAUCUUCUGCCUGGACCUGCUCACAGAGGGAAUUGUUACAUAUUUUUGACUUCAUCAACUAUUUGAUGUGACUCUCCUCUCUAACCUGGGCCUUGCCCAUAAAAAACAUUGUGGCUUAUCUCUGGGCCCAAAACCUAGGUGAUGUGACUGUCUUCUUAGGGUCAUGCCCACAGUAGAGAGAUGCCUUAUUGCUAAACCCAGCACACAGGUGAGGUGAUUCUUCUGUCUGGUCCCUGCCCACAGGGGUCAUGAUGACAUCUCUCUAAGCCCAUCACCUAGAUUAUGUGAGUUCUCUUUUUCUUCUGUUAGCUAUAUAGAAGAUUGUGACAUAUUGCUUGGCCCAGACCUCAUGUGAUGUGAAUCUCCUCUCAUGCCUUGGUCCUGUUUUUUUUUGGCCGUUGUUGUUUUGUUUUGUUUUUUGAGAUGGAGUCUUGCUCUGUUGCCUAAGCUGGA